Molecule: ribosomal RNA, 465 nt
Filed under: uncultured bacterium
Lineage: Bacteria
Description: partial 16S ribosomal RNA
Rfam family: Bacterial small subunit ribosomal RNA
Source: RNAcentral
CCUACGGGUGGCAGCAGUAGGGAAUCUUCCACAAUGGACGAACGUCUGAUGGAGCCACGCCGCGUGAGUGAAGACGGGUUUCGGCGCGUUAAGCCCUGUUUGUAGUGAAGCAAGAUAGAGGUAGUAACUGGCCUUUGUUUGACGGUAAUUACUUAGAAAGUCACGGCUAACUACGUGCCAGCAGCCGCGGUAAUACGAAGGUGGCAAUCGGUGUCCGGAUUUAUUUGGCUGAAAGGGAGUGCAGGCGGGUAAGUCAGUCUGAAGGUAAAGCCGUCGGCCCAACCGGAGAAUUGCAUCAGAAACUGUUGAACUUGAGUGCAGAAGAGGAGAGCGGAACUCGAUGUGUAGCGGUGGAAUGCGUAGAUAUAUGGAAGAACACCAGUGGUGAAGGCGGCUCUCUGGUCUGCAACUGACGCUGAGGCUCGAAAGCAUGGGUAGCGAACAGGAUUAGAUACCCGUGUAGUC